RNAcentral lists this long non-coding RNA (2871 nucleotides) under Homo sapiens (human). Its description in RNAcentral is "HSALNT0344906". Lineage: Eukaryota; Metazoa; Chordata; Mammalia; Primates; Hominidae. The record is from RNAcentral.
GGACACCACUCUAAACCAACUAAAUGAGAAUCAGAUAUCGUGAAGUCACUAAUCAUUUUGCUCCUGGGUCUUUAUGACAGUUUUGCUCCUGGGAAACUCUUGGGAAUGUGGUAGAGAGAGAGAAAGAGAUGGGAAAAUAAGAUUUUAAGAAGUGUUGCUAUGCAUUUUGAAAAUAAUUUUUAUUUGGUGUUUGUCUUGAGGGAAGGCGGUAAACAUUUCAAUUGCCUUUAAGUGUGCUUGGAUGCUGGAACGAUGGUUCUUUGAAUGCAGCGUCAAACUGGCAUUGGGUCACAUGGCAGCCAGCAUUAACCUUUAUGCCACAUUUAUAAAACAUGAAUGUCAUGAGCCCACUCUCAGAGACCUUAUAAUUUGGAGGGUUAGGUCAGAUCCACAAAUCUCUUCUAUCUCAUGGUAAAGGAAACCUGGCGUGUAGCAGGAGAUGGUGUGAUAACAAUAAUAUAUCGCAUGAUCAGUAUUUGUAUUCUUCUUAUCAAUAUUAAACUUUUUGACCUCCUCCAUUGUGUCAUCAAUUUGCUUAAUACAGUUUCUGCCUCAGCGUCUGUUUUUAGGCCUGGCAUAAGCUGUUUGAAACCCAGGCACAUACCCCACCCAUCAUCUUUGGCCUAGUUAACACCUCCCCUCCCUGCGUGGUGGUUUGGAGAACCUGCUUGUUCCUCAUCCCACUGAUCCCAAACCCAGGACACCCCACAGCUGCUGACCAGGAUUAAACCUAAGGGAGAUUUAAUGCCGUUAAAUCAGAAGAAAUUCUGAUUCUCAGGGACUGACAUUCAUUCACUUAAAUACUUGCAGAGUCGGCCAGGUGUGGUGGCUCACACCUGUAAUCCCAGCACUUUGGGCAGCCGAGGUGGGUGGAUCACGAGGUCAAGAUUUCGAGACCAGCCUGGCCAACAUGGUGAAACCCCGUCUGUACUAAAAAUACAAAAAUUAACUGGUAUAGCUGUGCGUGCCUGUAAUCCCAGCUACUCAGGAGGCUGAGGCAGGGGAUUUGCUUGAACCUGGGAGGUGGAGGUUGCAGUGAGCCAAGAUUAUCCCAUUGCACUCCAGCCUGGGCAGCAGAGCGAGACUCUGUCUCAAAAAACAAAAAACCCAAAAACUUGCAGAGUGAAUUUAGGAAACCAUGUAGUCUACAGUUUGAUGCAAUGUCUUCCUUUUCCUCUUUCUCAAAUAUUUUGAGCCAGGUACUAUCCUAGAUUGUCUUGUGAUAUUUACAAUCUAGGAGAAGGCAGGAGAGAGAACUAAGAACAGAGAGCAUGUUCUGAGAUGUCUGCUGUGUUUGCAGAAAUGAGGCUUCUCCCCAGGACCAGCAUUCCACGAAGGCAGCCCUUUUCUAGAUGGAGAAAACAGAACCUGAAGACACCCGUUUCCCUAAACUGCUCUCGCUCAUGUUUCUACAAGGCCUGGAGCUGAUAGGAAAAACCUCCCUUCUUUCCCAAAUGGUCCCCAGCUGCCCCGUUCACUGAAGGCCCUGCAGUCAGGAACGGUCAGGACUUCACACCCAGUUGUUGUGGGUGUUUGGCCGACACGACACUUCCUCUUGUGUGAUUCAUGGACCCGCAGCAUUGCGUCACCUGGGAGCUUUUGGUAUUGAAGACUCUCAGGGCUCACCCGGAAGGACCUGCUGGGCCAGAAUCUACAUUUUAACAAGAUGCCCAGAAACUCCUGGAGGGCAGAGGCAUGCCUGCCAUCUUCAUCAUUGCAUUACCACCACCCAACACUAUCGGGGGACCUGCCCUGAUAAUCAGUCUACAGGUGUAUCCAGCAGCUCCAGAGAGACAGCGACCAGCGAGAAGGGGCCAUGAUGAUGGUGGUGGUUUUGUCAAAACGAAAAGGGGGAUAUGUAGGGAAAAGAAAGAGAGAUCAGACUGUUACUGUGUCUACAUAGAAAGGGAAGCCAUAAGAGACUCCAUUUUGAAAAAGACCUGUACUUUAAACAAUUGCUUGCUGAGAUGUUGUUUAUCUGUAGCUUUGCCCCAGCCACUUUGCCCCAACCACUUUGACCCAAUCUGGAGCUCACAAAAACAUGUUUGUAUGAAAUCAAGGUUUAAGGCAUGUAGGGCUGUGCAGGACGUGCCUUGUUAACCAAAUAUUUGGAAGCAGUAUACUUGGUAAAAGUCAUCACCAUUCUCUCGUCUCAAUAAACCAGGGGCACAAUGCACUGUGGAAAGCCGCAGGGACCUCUGCCCUUGAAAGCUGGGUAUUGUCCAUGGUUUCUUCCCAUGUGAUAGUCUGAAAUAUGGCCUCAUGGGAUGAGAAAGACCUGACGGUCCCCCAGCUCGACACCCAUAAAGUGUCUGUGCUGAGGUGGAUUAGUCAAAGAGGAAAGCCUCUUGCAGUUGAGAUAGAGGAAGGCCGCUGUCUCAUGCUUGCCCCCUGGGAACUGAAUGUCUCGGUAUAAAACACUAUUGUACAUUUGUUCAAUUCUGACAUGGGAGAAAAACCACCCUAUGGUGGGAGGCGAGACAUGUUUACAGCAAUGCUGCCUUGUUAUUCUUUACUCCACUGAGAUGUCUGGGUGCAGAGAAACAUAAAUCUGGCUUACAUGCACGUCCAGUCAUAGUACCUUCCCUUGAACUUCAUUAUGUCAUAGAUUCUAUUGCUCACAUGUUUGUUGCUGACCUUCUCCUUAUUAUCACCUUGCCCUCCUACUACAUUCAUUUUUGCUGAAAUAAUGAAGAUAAUAAUCAAUAAAAACUGAGGGAACUCAGAGAACGGUGCCAGUGCAGGUCCUUGGUAUGCUAAGCGCCGGUCCCCUGGGCCCACUGUUGUUUCUCUAUACUUUGUCUCUGUGUCUGAUUUCUUUUCUGUCUCUCAUCCCACCCGACAAGAAAUACCCACAGGUGUGGAGGGGCA